This is a non-coding RNA of Phalacrocorax carbo (great cormorant), 4266 nucleotides long. NCBI's taxonomy places the organism in Eukaryota, Metazoa, Chordata, Aves, Suliformes, Phalacrocoracidae. The record is from RefSeq and is a predicted model, not a curated record.
UCUUUGAAUACUGUGACAGUCUCUUUCAUUUUUCUUUCUUUUGAAAUAGGUUUAGUUAUCGCAGUUAUGCUGAACAGUGACAAAUUGUGUCAUGGCAUUGUGAUGAAGACACAUCCUUUCUGAGGAGAGAAGAAAUCUGAAAUUUACACAUGUGUACCGAAUUCUGAAGAGACAAAAAGGAAAAUUGGCCACAGUGCCAUACUGGAAUACCUCCCCAAAGUAAGCUACAGAUCCUAGUGGUCACAUUAGUGCCAUCUUUGUCAACCGCACAGUGGACAGCUCUGACACUCAGCCAGUUGGUCCAAAUUGACUUCUGUCCACAAGAUCAGGUCCAUGAGACAGAAACUCUUCGAUAAAAGAGGAUUUCAGUUCAGUUGACAGUGUAGACUCAUGUGGUAAUAAAAGUCACUUCAGUCUGGAGUAAUGAAUGAAUUAGUUAUUAAAAAACCAAGGCUGCUGGCACAAAGUUAACAUGUGCUACUUAGGAGCCAGACUGACAUACUUCUCCCUAACAUCUUCAGAAGAAUGGCCUGCGUGUGAUUCCCAGAGAAGCAGGACUCUUCAGCUGACUUUCCUCUUCUGGUCUGCAGUCUCACUCUCUGCUUUUGAUUCUUGGAAAGAGUGGUUCCAGGAGAACACAUUUCACAUGCUCUUAGCUUUGCUUUUUCUUAACACAGAUCAAUGAUGCUAUUGUAGCUUAUGGUUUCCUCUUUCUGUGUUACUCUCAUCUAGGUUUCUUAUCAUAUCCCCUUUCUUUUCUAGGACUGCCUGUAGCAGUGAGUAGGUCACAGAAGUAUUAGUAGAGGCCUAAGCCCGUGGGUUUCCCAGGGUGGUUCAUAUUCAGAUUUGGUUCAUACAACAAUGAAGGUCCAUGAGUGUCAUUUUCUAAGGAAGGGACUUGUUAUUAGACAAACAGAAGUUAAAACAGGCAAGAAAAGGUAGUCUGAAGAUAUGCCAAGAAACUGGAAUAAGACCAGGGAGUCUGUAGAACAUACUUGGCCAGAUUUCUUAGAAAAAUAAGAAAACGUGAUUUGUCCAGUUGAAAACUGUCUAUGGCAUCAAACUGUCUAAAAUGGAAAGCAAAGGAAAAUAAAGCAAUGUAGUGCACAGCGGUAUGUCCUGGCAAGCACUUGAAGGGCAGGAAAAGAACGUGACAAAAGAGAGAGGAAAUUAAUUCUGAUUACAUUGUUAGAAUGUGGUCACCCUGAUUCCAUAACAGUCUUGUCCUUGGUUCAAACAAACAAACCCCCACUACGUUAGUUUUAAAUAUAUAAUAAAUCAGGAAAUAAUAGUAGCAGAUGAAGACUGACAAAUCAUAGGAUUCCAGGGAUAUGAUGUGAAGCAGAUCUUGGGGAAAUGGAAUUGAUGGGAAAGCGUUGGUGCUGAGCAGCAUAUCCCAGGAUUACAAGUGACUGCAUUUCUGUGUUUGAUGCUGUACUUCAAAGUGAAGGAUGAUCUUUAUUGAGAAAAGUUUCAGCAUGGUUUGUGCACUCUUUUCUUGGGCAUCUGACACACCACAGAGUUUGCUGAUGUUAGUGUAUCUGGUUUUGAACAUUAGUUAUGCAAAGUUAGAAUUAAUCUGUUGGGAGAGUUCAAUUCCCAAUUGUUAUUUGUUACAGUAAUUCUAAUUUCUUUAUUUAUUUAUAGAAAUUGAUGAACUCUUAUCUGUGUACUGACUUUAUUCUCUGGUAGAAGGGUCAGUGGCAGUGUGAUAGUUACAGUAUUAUGUCCAAAUUUACUUUCCCAAAUACAGAAUAAAGAGACAAAAGUAAUGUCAUCAGUUAGAGUUAAAAACUAGUCUUAUGCUUUAUGUAAAAUGUAGUGGAUCAGUGAAUCACAUUUUCAAGGCAGUUCUGGACUGGCUUUUUUACAAUACACUGCUUUUUAGCAGAAGAGGCUAUAAAUUUAUGGAUGUUUAUGAGCUCUCCCCUAUGAGCCAUGUAACAAGUAUGUAGGAUUGAGAAGCAGUGGGUUUCUCCAGGGUUUUUGUAUGUCCAUUUUUCGUAUUCAAUUAAAAUGCAGGAAAUAACAAAGGGUGUAUGUACUGAAAUUUGUAGAUGAUACAAUUUAUUCUGCUGGGUUUAGGAUCUUAUACUUCUAUGGAUAUAUUUUUUUAACUUUGAGGGGAUGGACAGCUGGAUUUGGAUUAACUAGAAUUUAAUAUUUGGAAGAGCUGGCUGUGGUCUUUGUGUUCCUGUACAUCUUUGUGUAACCUUGGAGAUUGUUCUUCUUCUUUCUCUUGUUUUCUUUUUUCCCCUCUUCUGUUUUGUUUUUUUAAAGGGUUUGGUUUUGGUUUUUUUUUUUUUGCUGUGAAGUAAAAAUAAAGGGCCUCAAUACCUCUGAGGACUUGGACCUCCAUCUGUCUGUACUUUGAUUUCCUAGGAGAACUUCUGCUGGAAGAGUAUGAUCUGGUAUAAAUUAAUUCGCUCAAGAGCACUUGAGUCUUUAGAUGCUUCUUGUUUUGUUUUUUUUUGUUUUUCUUUUUUUUACUUUAGGUUAAUGCUGAUUAAUAAUUGAUCUCUACCUACCAUGACUUCCCUUUCCAGGAUAAAAAAAUGUUGUGACAUAUUCCUUUUUUGAAAAGCUUAAAUUAAUGAACACAGUAAAUGUAGGCAUACUGGUAAGCAGCAUCCUGACCUAAAAAAAGCAAUUCAAAAUAAAUCACCCACCUCCAAGAAAGAUAAAAAUAAUAUUCAGUAAGAGUUGUUUCCGCAGCUUGAAAGCGAGAAUAAAUUUCUUAAAGCAAAAUGAAUGUUAUAUGCCGUUAUUCUAGUGGAAGCAAAAAAGAGCCUAAAAUUCUUAAUGCACUGGAAAAAAACAAGAGCAAAGGCUGAAAUAGCAUAAUCCUUUCCUCUCCAAAAUUUGGAAACAGGAAGGAAAUAGUAGGGAAAUAGACCUUUAAAUAUUGAAAUGCAUUAUCUUAAAGGAAUUGCUCUGAAACAGCACAUCAGCAAUAUUAAUGCUGGCAGGAGGGUGUGUCUGUGGGAGCAGAGAAUGAAAAUUAUCUGAAUAAAUCGUGGAGAUCACUUUUCCACAUAAAGUGCCCAUCAGAUUUAUGCAGAAGUACAUGAACAGUCAUGGGGUUGUCCUCAUGUCCUCCAGGACAGUGACCUACCUUGAUUCUCAUGAAUGUCUGAGCUGAAAUCCAUACUCCCUUCAUGUUGUAAGCACUGUGUGACCAUGCUGCAUGAUUUUAGGGCCUAGCCCAGCUCUCAGUGAAGUUUACUUUUCACAUUAAUAGUGGGUGAAUUGGGCCAGCCAUAGUUUCUUACGAUCCCUGUCAAAAAAAGUAUCCAUUUCAGUUACUAGUGAUGUCCUUUCAGUUUGUAAAAUGAUUUGGCGCUGCAGUGCAGCCUAUAAAUACCAGAUCGGAUUGCCGUGGCAAUGGGAGAAUAAUUUUUUUCUUUUUUUGGAAAUGCCUAAAAGAAUGGGGUGAGCCUCAGAGCCACAGCUAGCUUAGAAAUGAAGUGGCACCUGAGCUGGUCAGCGAGAAAGGGACAGACUGCUUAUUAGAAACGCUAGAGGAUGGAGUUCAAGGAAUUAGGUCAAGGCUGAAAUACUGGCACUGUUGAGCUCAUUGGAGGCAGAAUUUCACUUGAGAUUUCCCUGAAUAAGGGAAAUUCUUUGAAUGGAUGACAUGUGACCACCCUCUUGCCAUCUCUCCCUCAUUCUUCUUCCUCUUUACAUUUCAAUAUUAUAAAUUGUUGGAUAAUUUACCAUUUCUUUUUGAAGCAUGAGAAAACUUGGCAGAGAGUACAAAGUUGAAAGUAACUCAUUCUGUAACAGUUUCAGAUCCAUGCUGAUUGUUAAUUUUGUGUAAAGGUGAUUUUCUUAUCAAAUGGCUUCUUAGAAGGCUGUCUCUCCAUGUGACUAAUAGGACUUCAUGGACAUGGCAAGCCUCCCAGGAACCAUGAGGGAAAAGAGCAGCAUUGCUGCAAGUUGUAGAACCAUCCAGAGGAAUCCAAUGACUCUACAACUACUUGUGUAGGAACUUCAUUGCUUUGUUUGUCUGAUUAAAGAUCACCUCUGAAAAUGUCACAGAAUCUGAGGUAUUUACUUGAUCUAACAGGCCCUAUCCCUUGCAAAGGAAAUCUGACAGGUAACGGAGAACAAUAUAUGUCUUAAAGGUCCAGUUCCAAGUAGAUUUAGCAUGUCUCUUUUGCUAGAGAAUUAUAGAUUGGAGUUUAGUCAAAGACCACUGUCAGUUACAUUUUCUCAAUAUUAUUAUUGAAGAUUUUAAGUGGUUCACAAAAUGCUUUUUACAUU